This 537-nucleotide ribosomal RNA is filed under the name Rana chensinensis (Chinese brown frog). RNAcentral's name for it is "partial 16S ribosomal RNA". It matches the Rfam family "Bacterial large subunit ribosomal RNA", at positions 1831 to 2587 of the family's 2925-position model. Lineage: Eukaryota; Metazoa; Chordata; Amphibia; Anura; Ranidae. The record is from RNAcentral.
UCUUGACAAAACAUAAGAGGUCCAGCCUGCCCAGUGACAAAGUUCAACGGCCGCGGUACCCUAACCGUGCAAAGGUAGCACAAUCACUUGUUCUUUAAAUGAGGACUCGUAUCAACGGCAUUACGAGGGCUAUACUGUCUCCUUUUUCUAAUCAGUGAAACUGAUCUCCCCGUGAAGAAGCGGGGAUUAUAAUAUAAGACGAGAAGACCCCAUGGAGCUUUAAACUCACCAUGCACCUCUGUGCUUUCAUACCCCUAAACACAACAGACCUGCAUGUUAGUUUUAGGUUGGGGUGACCACGGAGUAUAACUUAACCUCCACAGCAAACGGGCUAAUACCCUUAUCCACGAGACACAACUCUAAGAAUUACUAAACUAAUGCUUACGACCCGAUAUUCGAUCCAUGAACCAAGUUACCCUGGGGAUAACAGCGCAAUCUACUUCAAGAGCCCAUAUCGACAAGUAGGUUUACGACCUCGAUGUUGGAUCAGGGUAUCCCGGUGGUGCAGCCGCUACCAAUGGUUCGUUUGUUCAACGA